UACGGAGGGGACUAGCGUUGUUCGGAAUUACUGGGCGUAAAGCGCGCGUAGGCGGACCUGCAAGUCGGGGGUGAAAGCCCGAGGCUCAACCUCGGAACUGCCUUCGAUACUGCGGGUCUCGAGUCCGGGAGAGGUGAGUGGAAUUCCUAGUGUAGAGGUGAAAUUCGUAGAUAUUAGCUAGAACACCAGUGGCGAAGGCGGCCAACUGGUCCGGUACUGACGCUGAGGUGCGAAAGCGUGGGGAGCAAACAGGG
RNAcentral lists this ribosomal RNA (254 nucleotides) under uncultured bacterium. RNAcentral's name for it is "partial 16S ribosomal RNA". It matches the Rfam family "Bacterial small subunit ribosomal RNA", at positions 524 to 777 of the family's 1533-position model. The record is from RNAcentral.